CCUACGGGUGGCUGCAGUGAGGAAUAUUGGUCAAUGGACGCAAGUCUGAACCAGCCAUGCCGCGUGCAGGAAGACGGCUCUAUGAGUUGUAAACUGCUUUUGUACGAGGGUAAACGCAGAUACGCGUAUCUGGCUGAAAGUAUCGUACGAAUAAGGAUCGGCUAACUCCGUGCCAGCAGCCGCGGUAAUACGGAGGAUUCAAGCGUUAUCCGGAUUUAUUGGGUUUAAAGGGUGCGUAGGCGGGCGUUUAAGUCAGCGGUAAAAUGUCGGGGCUCAACCCCGUCCGGCCGGUGACACUGGGGGCCUUGAGUGGGCGAGAAGAAGGCGGAAUGUGUGGUGUAGCGGUGAAAUGCAGAGAGAUCACGCAGAACACCGAUUGCGAAGGCAGCCUUCCG
RNAcentral lists this ribosomal RNA (395 nucleotides) under uncultured bacterium. Its description in RNAcentral is "partial 16S ribosomal RNA". It matches the Rfam family "Bacterial small subunit ribosomal RNA", at positions 338 to 731 of the family's 1533-position model. The record is from RNAcentral.